CGGGAUAGCUCAGCUGG
Molecule: transfer RNA, 17 nt
Filed under: Gnidia pilosa
Lineage: Eukaryota; Viridiplantae; Streptophyta; Magnoliopsida; Malvales; Thymelaeaceae
Also listed under: 1 other name
Description: partial transfer RNA-Phe
Source: RNAcentral